UACAGAGGGUGCAAGCGUUAAUCGGAAUUACUGGGCGUAAAGGGCGCGUAGGCGGAUAAUUAAGUUAGAUGUGAAAUCCCUGGGCUUAACCUGGGAACUGCAUUUAAUACUGGUUAUCUAGAGUAGAGUAGAGGGAAGUGGAAUUUCCGGUGUAGCGGUGAAAUGCGUAGAUAUCGGAAAGAACAUCAGUGGCGAAGGCGGCUUUCUGGACUCAUACUGACGCUGAGGCGCGAAAGCUAGGGGAGCAAACAGG
This 253-nucleotide ribosomal RNA is filed under the name uncultured bacterium. RNAcentral describes it as "partial 16S ribosomal RNA". It matches the Rfam family "Bacterial small subunit ribosomal RNA", at positions 524 to 776 of the family's 1533-position model. The record is from RNAcentral.